GAUGAACGCUGGCGGCGUGCCUAAUACAUGCAAGUCGAGCGAACAGCCGAUGAUCUUGCUCCUCUGACGUUAGCUGCUGUCGGGUGACUAACACGUGGAUAACCUACCUAUAAUACUGGUAUUACUUCGGGAAACCGGACCUAAUACCGUAUAAUAUCUUGAUCCGCAUGGUUCAAUAGUUAAUGACGGUUUUGCUGUCCCUUAUAGAUGGAUCCGCGCCGCAUUUGAUAGUUGUUUAGGUAACGGCUUACCAAGGCAACGAUGCGUAGCCGACCUGAGAGGGAGAUCGGACACACGGGAACGGAGACAGGGACGAGACACCGACGGGAGGAAGCAGUAGGGAAUCGUACGCAAGGGGGGAAAGGGUGACGGAGCAACGCGGAGUGAGUGAUGAAGGAGUGAGGAUGGGAAAACUCUGAUAUGAGGGAAGAACAAAUGUGUAAGUAACAAUGCAGGUAGUGACGGUACCUAAUCAGAAAGCCACGGCUAACUACGUG
RNAcentral lists this ribosomal RNA (497 nucleotides) under uncultured bacterium. RNAcentral describes it as "partial 16S ribosomal RNA". It matches the Rfam family "Bacterial small subunit ribosomal RNA", at positions 28 to 507 of the family's 1533-position model. The record is from RNAcentral.